This 253-nucleotide ribosomal RNA is filed under the name uncultured bacterium. RNAcentral's name for it is "partial 16S ribosomal RNA". It matches the Rfam family "Bacterial small subunit ribosomal RNA", at positions 524 to 776 of the family's 1533-position model. The record is from RNAcentral.
UACGUGAGGGGCGAACGUUGUUCGGUGUCACUGGGCUUAAAGGGUGCGUAGGUGGUUGCGUAAGUAACGUGUGAAAUCCCUCGGCUUACCCGGGGAAUUGCGCGUUAUACUGCGUGACUUGAGGAUUUCAGGGGAAAGGGGAACUCCAGGUGUAGCGGUGAAAUGCGCAGAUAUCUGGGGGAAGGCCGGCGGCGAAGGCGCCUUUCUGGGAAAUUCCUGACACUGAGGCACGAAAGCGUGGGGAGCAAACAGG